This is a non-coding RNA of Biomphalaria pfeifferi, 226 nucleotides long. NCBI's taxonomy places the organism in Eukaryota, Metazoa, Mollusca, Gastropoda, Planorbidae. The record is from the annotation of a GenBank genome assembly.
AUUAGCUCAUGGUGUUUUAAGUUAGUGUUCUCUGUGAAUUCUUUUUGACAAAUUUUACAUUUGAAUGGCUUUAUACCAGAAUGUAUUCGCUCGUGCCUUUCUAAGUCAUGGGACCGAUAAAACCCUUUCAGACAAACUUUACAUUGAAAUGGCAUUUCACCAGAAUGUUUUUUAUUAUGCAUAAUUAAGUUAGAUGGAUCAUUGAAUUCUUUCUGACAAAUUUUAC